RNAcentral lists this transfer RNA (72 nucleotides) under Candidozyma auris. RNAcentral describes it as "[Candida] auris tRNA-Met". Lineage: Eukaryota; Fungi; Ascomycota; Pichiomycetes; Serinales; Metschnikowiaceae. The record is from RNAcentral.
UUUUUUUAUUACUUUAUAAUAACUCUCUUUUUGAAAAAAUAAUCCUUAUUUACUCCCUUUCAAAGAAAGGGA